AUGCAGCAGCAAGUAGCGCACGUGCGGAGCAGAGGCAACGGUGGCCAAGAGGAGCACACGCGGGCGGCGGGAGACAGCUGCGUGGGACGCACUCGGAGGCGGAACGGCAACGGCUGCAGGCUCGAUCUGGAAGGGGCGCCUGCGAGGGCCACAAUCUGGACGUCAUGUGUGACGGGAUCUAGACCACGGCCUUGGGAGCAUGGAUUAGGAACCUUCUGGCCUGGGAAACAGCCGACGGAUCGAAGGCAACAUCCUGGAGAAGGGUGGCACGUCAUUGUGCGGGACAGGCAGCGCCCCGACGUCCACGCGGAGACAACAACCUGGAUGAGCACCGGCGGAGUCGUGGCUGUCCAGCGGCGAGCGUGUAGAGGCCCAAGUUGA
RNAcentral lists this ribosomal RNA (381 nucleotides) under Triticum aestivum (bread wheat). RNAcentral's name for it is "partial small subunit ribosomal RNA". Lineage: Eukaryota; Viridiplantae; Streptophyta; Magnoliopsida; Poales; Poaceae. The record is from RNAcentral.